CAGCAGCCGCGGUAAUACGUAGGGUGCAAGCGUUAAUCGGAAUUACUGGGCGUAAAGCGUGCGCAGGCGGCUAUGCAAGACAGAUGUGAAAUCCCCGGGCUCAACCUGGGAACUGCAUUUGUGACUGCAUGGCUAGAGUACGGUAGAGGGGGAUGGAAUUCCGCGUGUAGCAGUGAAAUGCGUAGAUAUGCGGAGGAACACCGAUGGCGAAGGCAAUCCCCUGGACCUGUACUGACGCUCAUGCACGAAAGCGUGGGGAGCAAACAGGAUUAGAUACCCCUGUAGUCCCUGUCUCUUAUAC
Molecule: ribosomal RNA, 301 nt
Filed under: uncultured bacterium
Lineage: Bacteria
Description: partial 16S ribosomal RNA
Rfam family: Bacterial small subunit ribosomal RNA
Source: RNAcentral